RNAcentral lists this transfer RNA (75 nucleotides) under Strix uralensis (Ural owl). Its description in RNAcentral is "tRNA-Ser". It matches the Rfam family "tRNA". Rfam says of the family: Transfer RNA (tRNA) molecules are approximately 80 nucleotides in length. Lineage: Eukaryota; Metazoa; Chordata; Aves; Strigiformes; Strigidae. The record is from RNAcentral.
AUGAAGAAAGAAGCAUGAGCGGUGAUGCGGUUGGCUUGAAACCAGCGUGUGAGGGUUCGAUUCCUUCCUUUCUUG